Molecule: ribosomal RNA, 386 nt
Filed under: uncultured bacterium
Lineage: Bacteria
Description: partial 16S ribosomal RNA
Rfam family: Bacterial small subunit ribosomal RNA
Source: RNAcentral
UGGGAAUAUUGCACAAUGGGCGCAAGCCUGAUGCAGCCAUGCCGCGUGUGUGAAGAAGGCCUUCGGGUUGUAAAGCACUUUCAGCGAGGAGGAAGGUGGUGGACUUAAUACGUUCAUCAAUUGACGUUACUCGCAGAAGAAGCACCGGCUAACUCCGUGCCAGCAGCCGCGGUAAUACGGAGGGUGCAAGCGUUAAUCGGAAUUACUGGGCGUAAAGCGCACGCAGGCGGUUUGUUAAGUCAGAUGUGAAAUCCCCGGGCUCAACCUGGAACUGCAUUUGAAAACUGGCAAGCUAGAGUCUCGUAGAGGGGGGUAGAAUUCCAGGUGUAGCGGUGAAAUGCGUAGAGAUCUGGAGGAAUACCGGUGGCGAAAGGCGGCCCCCUGGA